GCCCCUACUGGAAAACAAUAAACACUGCAAUGAAUUGAAAAUGGCGAUUUUAGAAAGCUGGGUGCAUUUCGUUUUCAGUCACUAUUCAAGGUGUUUCAAAGUAACAUAUGAUAGUGUAAAUUUUAAGUGAACGUGAAAUAAAAGUUGUGUCAGUUAUUUAAAAAUUAGUGAAUUAAAAGUAAAUAAAAUGGAAAAAGAGAUUGAUUUAAAAACGGGCGAUAAAGUAUUUCAAGAUGACGUCGCUCAACAGAAUGAACAGAGAACUGCGUACGCAUGCGAUAUGACAAUGAAAACAAUCGAAGGGGAGCUUCCGCCAAAAAAACGGAAAACGCGACGCGGGAAAUCCAAACGGAGACAUCCUUAUUUAAAAAAUCAAAGAAAAUCGAAUAAAUUAGUAAAACCAGAAGCCCCACAUAACAGCAAUCAAUUUUUACUCGAAGAUCAUGCUUUAAUGGAAGGAUUGGAUAAAAAUUUGAUGUCCCCAAAUGCUUUAAGAACAAGAGAUUCAAGUUUCAGUGUUGAUUCAGAAGGAGAAUUUUAUUCUUCGCCAGAUGAUGGCCAACAGUUUUUAAUCAAAGACUUUGAUGACCAAUAUGAAAGUGUUCAAGCUGAAAGACUUCAGAGUAUGUCAAAAUCAGAAUUAAUAGAGGAAUAUCUGGCACUCGAAGAUAAGCUUGAAAAAUUAAUAAAAGGUCAACAGAAAGAAGAAGAUGAUUCGGAGGAUUCUCGAUCUGAUCUCAAGCAAGAAGUGGAACGUCUCACCUUGGAAAACGAGCGAUUGAGGCGGGAGAAUGAUAUACUACGAAGUAAAGUAAAUGAUGCAUCUGACUCCGAGGACUCUGAAACUGAUUCUAGCGAUUCUUGCAGUAGUUCAUCAAGUUCAAGUAACAGUUCUCAAAAUUCAAGCAGAUCUAGAAGUCCCAUCACCAAUGGUGAUUAUAGUAAAACAAAUGGAUUCUCUAAGAAAGAGUCAGUUAUGUAGAUUUCAUAGAACAUUAUCUUGCUCAGAUAAAAAAAACACCAAGUAGACAGGCUUUCUAUAUGUAAUUCUAUCAAGUACUUAUACGUAAAAUAACUAGUUAACAUAUUUAAACACUUGAAAAAAAAACAUGAACACUCUGUUAACUGGUUAUUGUUUUGUAAAAGAAAAUACGGUUAUUUUGAUAUUUGAAAAUGGAUAACAGUUGAAAACCUGUAGAUAUUUAGUAUAUAAGGUGGUCACAAAGUGACUGUGAUAAAAAUUUGUUGAAUAUUAUUGGUAAGAAAAUGUUGGUGGAAUUUUGGAAAAAUUUAUAUCACUUUUUUGCAUAGAAACAAUAUAUUAUUUUUUUUUAUUCUACAUUAAUGGUCAUAUUAGGAUUGGUGAAAAGAUUUUCUACUUAUUAAUCUUACUUGCAGAGUUCUUAUAUAAUAAUUACAGAUAUAUAAUAAUGACUAUAUGUCCUACAACCUAGAUAGAUUGUAUGUAGCGGGGGAAAUGUUAUGCUGUAUCCUCCCCAUCAAAGUUGCUCUGCUCACUGGAUCAUCUACAGGUCACCUUCUAGUUUAAAUAUUCUAAUAAACUCUAAGAUCAUUUCAAGGAGGUUAGAUCUUUGCUCCUAUAAGUAUUUCGUCAUCAAUAAAUCUAUGUAUGCCACCCAGUUUUUUGUUGCUUCAAAUAGAGAUCUUUUGAUAAAGAUGCUAUGUAAUUAUUAUGUUGUUUAGGGUUUAGGGAGGAUUUAAUUUUAUUUAUUACCUUUCUUUCAGUUUUCAAGCCAUUCUGAAUAUAAAAGAAGUCUUAGGUUUACGGAUGCUAUAAUGGGACCAUUGAUCGUAUCUAAAAUAAUUGUAUUGUAUAUGAGUGUACCUGUAAUGGUGCUAUUUGUUUACAGAAAAUCUACUGUUAAUAUUAGGUGUUUGAAAAAUGGAGAACCCUAGAAGCCAUAUGUAUUUCUGACAUAAACAAAGCCUUAAAAUCUGUAUGCAAAAAUAGCCCUAUUUUAGAAAUAUUAUUUAGCAGAAAAUAAAAUUUGGAAUAUAAAUUAAAAAUAAAACAACACUGUUAUAAAUUUAUAGUUAAUAUAAACACAGUUAUAUAUAUUAUACAACGAAAAAACAAUAUGUAUAAAUUGGGACAAAAAAAAUCAAUAGAAACAUAAUAUCAUGCGUGUAAUUGCAUAUGUAGUUGUAUUUCAAAAAGGCCACUUUUUAGGAGACUCCUUUUGUUACUUUUUCAUUAUCAUUCCUCGUGAAUGAGGCUGGAGGUUUGAUUUGUCAUGAAAUAUCAUGUUACAUAAUAUUAAUAGCUUUAAUUUAACAGAUUUGUGUUUUUUAAGCACAUACAACUUUUUGUACCCCCGGAGGUCUACGGACCACAGGUUGGAAAACACUGGAUUAGAUUAUCGUUGUCCGAAAACCUUCUUUGUAAUUCAGCAAUUAGUGCGUCCAACGUUUCGAAAUACUCAGGACUUAAAUGGCUCGUCGUUCUCUUCUAUGUGCCACGCGACAUGAACGCGUGCGAAUAACGUGAUGCCUCAUAUCAAUGUUAUUUAAAUGGAAUUAAAAAGAGUGCGGUCCAACGACUACAUUGCUAGUUGCGGGUUGUAUGUAGCUACCUUUUUAGGGAAUUUAUAGCCUUGUAAAUUAGGGAUAAUAAAAAUAUGACGAAAUAUGUGGAAAACGUUUAUUAUUACAGGUCGGAAGCUGAUAUAAACUUAUUACUAAAUAAAUAUUUUUGUUUUGUCAAAAUGUUUGUAACCACACUGAAGCCUUUAUCAACGAGGUAAGUUGAUGGAAAAGCGAUAAGGUAUUUUUCAGCAAUGUUCCACAAUGCAGGAUACUGUUGUUUACUGUUGUGUUGUUUAAUGUUGCGUUGCAACCAGAAAUUCUGAUAGCCUUGGUUGAACUUCUUAAGCUCCUCGUCUGUGCUGAUGGUAAUCAACUCUUCUUGUAUUAUCAUAUUGGUUUCUUCCAUGGCUGUGAUAUUGUAUGGAUUUAUUAUCCAUUGAGUAAUUUGUAAAUUUAAGAGAUCCUCAAACCUCUUAGUAAAAUCCUUGUGUAAUGCGUCUAAGUGAGUGACAUAUGAUAAAAACAUCUUCUUGAAGCAUUUCUGGUAAUUUUGACAAAUGCCGGAACUGUAAAUAUUCUUUUCUGCUUAAAUUAUUUACAAUUGUUCAGAUUUUUUUUUCAAAUUCGGAUCUUUUUCUUGUAAAAACUCUAACACAGAUUCAAAAAUGGCUGAAAAUUGGUUCUCUUAGACUCUAAGGGAACCAAUUUUUUUUGUAACCCCGAGGCUUGGCGUCUUAAAUAAUUUGAGUUUUAUAGUUUAUAGUUUUACAGGGCUUAUAAAUAUCUGACUCCAUCCUUUUGUGGUUGUUAUUUUUUCAAACUUUAUUUGGACACAUUUUUUAGUGAUAUAGUUUUUCAUCAUUUCCACUUAAUAUGAAAAUAAAAUUAUUAGAAUUAAUUACUUAAUUGUAAAAGAAAAUAUGUUGAAUAUUUUCUCAAAUAUAACGAAAGACUGAUUUAAAUUAAAAUUGUAUAUAAAGCGAGGUAUUAGAAUUACAUGUAAAAGGCCUGGAUAAUAUUUGUUAAUUUUUCGAACCAAAUGCUUUACAGUUAGUAUAUUGAUUACCACUUACAGCAAUUUACUGCAAGAUACGUUUUCAAUGAAAGCUGGACCAAAUACCAACAGAGUUUCUGAAUAUCAGAUAAAAACCUAUACUAAAAAAAUAAAAACGUAGCCAGUUGUAUAUCAAUAGUUUAAUCGCUUCUUUUUGACAAAAAUAACUUAUGGCAGGACUUUAUUUCUUUUUUGGUACAUAUCAAAGUCACUUAUAUAUCCGAAUUGUUGACAUCCUCCUUUACAAAAAUAUUGUGGUAAUCAUUUUUACUUCACUUAUUGUUAUUGGUCAACCCUGUUGAUUAAUAACUGCAUAUACCUCAAGUUAUAUAUGUGUCAUCUGCUUGUAAAAAUGGUCAUCUCCAUAACAGAAAUUUUUUACAGGAGAGCUGAUUUUUGGUCACACCUAGGAAAAUGUAGGUGCAUCCAAAUCUCUUUUUGCCUUCCACCUGGCACUUAGGCCCUGGCAACAUCACCAGGCGCCAGCCCUAUUCUGGACGGCAGACAUUUUUUGUUCUAUUUUCCUUCUCAAUUCACUCUUAAUGAUGUUUUGAUUCGCUAUUACUAAGACUGUUCAUUUAUAGGUGGAACAAAGUCUUUGCCAGCUAUAUUAUGAGCGCUGUCAAAGUGUACUAACUCUAAUAUAGAAACAAAUAAACGAUCAAGAAAAGCGAGUGAAAGUCGCAAUACAUUCUGGCAAGUGGAGUGGGAAUCCAAUGUUUAUUAUGAUUUAUCACUAUAUUUGAUGGAAGUUUACACUGGUAGUUUGGAAGUGAGUUUGUUAAAGAUAUGUUUAUCAAAGUAUUUUCCAAAAGUUUUUAUUACAUUCAUUGAUUAUACCAAAUAGGGGAGACUGGGUCUUUUUAAUUUUUGUCCAUUCAUGUAGCAAAUUCGCAAAUUAAAUUUUUUAAAAAGUUGUGGAUGUUGUGUAUGGAGCACAGUUUAAGAAACGCUGGCUUAGAGGUUAUGUUCAAAACAAAUAACAACACCGCGUAAUUACUUACCAAUAAUCGCAAGAUGUAACUAAAAACACCACUUAUCCACAAUUAUUUGCCGUUAGCAAAAAAUCUCAGAAAUAUUUACUUAAAUGACUCGAAAACAAUUUUUUCGUAUUACAGCCACAAAGCACAGCCGAUUUACUGCAGACUAGAAUACAGCUAUGAAGAGUAAAUAGACUUGCCAAUUAAGAUCAUAUGGAUUGAUAGAUGGAGACACAGGUUUUAAAUUUAAAUCGUUUCAAGGUACACUAUGACCAAGGUACAACAGUCUCCCCUAUACAUUGACGUGAAUUAAAUACAUCUUAUGUCACAAAAAACGAAUGAAUUACCUCAAAUUCAGACCUAAUUCAAGUAUUUGUCCUGGUCCAGCCUUAUUCAAUUCAUAUAUUCCCAAAUUUCAUAACUAAAAAUUUGAUUUAUACAUUAUUAAGAAUUAUAACUUUGGUUACACUGGUUUGUAUCCAUUUUGUAUUUAGUUUAAACAUCAAAAUUAUUAUCUUUUUGCAUUUAUAUAAUUUAUAAUUUUCUUAGAGACCUGAGCAUCACAUUGUAGCCCUCGAUUUUUUUUAUUCGUAAAUUAAGUUAUGAAUGGACUCAUUUUUUGUUAUUGUACUUUCAUCAACUUCUUUGUAGUUGUACAUUUAAAUAUCCAGUUUGAUGUUUCCCCCUUUUCUGCAAACAACAAGAAAACAAAUAUGAAUAAAAUCAGAUUUAUCAAUUGGAAAAUUGAAAAUGUUUUUCUAAUGUGCGUUUUCAGAAGUUGAUGAAAAUACAUCUAUCGAAUCUUUUAUAUAAGUUCUAAAGAUUAUAGGCCUUUGCCAGAUUUAUUUAUUUCCUUUGUGAAUUAAUUUAAUUUUUUAUAAUAACGUUUUGUAGAUAUUUGAAUAGAGUUAUGUGAGUUGUUGAUAAGUUCUAAUAAUAAAUAUUGAUAGUUUUAAUUAUUGUUUAGUACCUUUCGAUAUUGACGAAGAAGAAGAGGAAGAUUAUAUUUUACCUACAGUGCAAAAGUAAACAUGAAACAUUUGUUAUUCUCUCUCUCUCUCUUAUAUUCUUAAAAAGUUAUAAAAUAAAAAACAUAAAGAGACGGCAACAACAACAAAAUGCGAGGAGUGCCCGGAGGAGGAAAAGAAACAGAAAAAGAAAGAAAAACAAAAAAA
RNA transcript from Diorhabda carinulata, 5756 nucleotides. It is a transcript of the gene named protein HEXIM1, with no coding region annotated. NCBI's taxonomy places the organism in Eukaryota, Metazoa, Arthropoda, Insecta, Coleoptera, Chrysomelidae. The transcript has 3 exons. The record is from RefSeq and is a predicted model, not a curated record.